UCGAGAAUCUUCGGCAAUGGACGAAAGUCUGACCGAGCGACGCCGCGUGCGGGACGAAGGCCUUCGGGUUGUAAACCGCUGUCGAGGGGGAUUAAGAACCCUGGAGGAAGGGGAGGCUAAGCUCGUGCCAGCAGCCGCGGUAAGACGAGCUCUCCAAACGUUAUUCGGUAUCACUGGGCUUAAAGAGUUCGUAGGCGGCUUACAGGUGGGGUGUGAAAGCCCUCGGCUUAACCGAGGAAUUGCGCCCCAAACCGUAAGGCUUGAGGGGUAUAGGGGUAAGCGGAACAGAUGGUGGAGCGGUGAAAUGCAUUGAUAUCAUCUGGAACACCGGUGGCGAAGGCGGCUUACUGGAUAUUUUCUGACGCUGAGGAACGAAAGCUAGGGUAGCGAACAGGAUUAGAUACCCUUGUAGU
This 413-nucleotide ribosomal RNA is filed under the name uncultured bacterium. RNAcentral's name for it is "bacterial SSU rRNA". It matches the Rfam family "Bacterial small subunit ribosomal RNA", at positions 355 to 794 of the family's 1533-position model. The record is from RNAcentral.